UUUCACACGUCUCUCUCUAAUUGAGGCAAAUUUUCAUCACCCAUCUCUCUUUAUUAGACACCCCCUCGUUCAUAUCUUACUCACACACACUCUCAGAAACCAUGUUUUCUUCUCAUGGCUAAAUCCAAACCCUCUCCAUCUUUCCCGAUGCCUCGAAGAAGUCACCAGUUAAAACAAAAUUACCCACACUGAUGAACAUGUUGACAUUGAAUCGUCGAAGGGCUCAGAUCAUCAAGUGUUUUGAAGAAGAAUCUAGUAAUUAUCUGGAAGAAAUUCUCAUUACUCAAAAAGGGACCAGCAAACGACUAAUGGAGUCGAAUCUCAAACAAUCAUCACAGAAGAAAGGGAAAAUCAAAAGCAUGGAUUUAGGCUCCGAGGACAAAAUGAACUUCUAUGGUCCUGAGGAGAAGUCCUAAUUGGUUGCCUACAAAGGGAAGUCGAUUUCUUAUGGAUGCACUGUAAGUUUAAAAUCUAUGAAGAAUUCUCAUUGUGAUGUUGUCUCUGUGUUUGAAACUCAAAAACUCUUAUCUCAAUUUGCUAUUGUUGGUGAUACCAUUUAUGAAAAUCUUGUGCGUAUGUUAUAUGCAAACUUGUUUGUGGAUGACAAAGAUGAUUUGGAAUUUAUGGUUCUUGGGACUUGCAUCAUUCUUGAUUAUUAUCAGUUUGAAAAUAUCUUUUCAACUAAGUUUCUUGGGUAUAGUUUCUUUGUACAACAUUCGUGGCCUGAUGAUAUUAAAGUAUCUUUUGAGGAUGCAAAAAGUGUUCUAUCUAAAACUCCCCUGAUAUAGGUCGCAAGAACCUAAACUUUUGAGCAUUCUGUGUUAGCCCACAUUAUUGUUACCACCCUCCUACCUUGCAUUGGGUCCCUUAGCACCUUGUCUAUCAUACACGUGUUUGUUUUGUACUGUCUUAUUAAUGGAAAAAGCUAUUGAUUGGUUCACCUGGAUACGUCAAUUCAUGCUUGAGAGUAUUAGGGAUGUCUCUUCCUCUGCGAACAGUUUGCCCUAUGGCCUACUAAUCUCUCAUAUUUUGCAAGUGAUGAAAGUGGAUUUAUCUCCCUUUUCCCCUAAGAUCUUCUCUAGCACUUAUGACAAAACAACAAUUGCUAUGAUGGGGUACACCUUAGUUAAAGGGACUUGGGUCAAGAAAGAAAAACCCCCAGAAUCUACAACCCCAACAUAACAUGGUACUUGAGGAAUUAUGUCUGAAGUCAAACAAUCUUCAUCCUCAGAUCAGUUGUUGCUAAUGCAUCAAAAUAUUGUAAGUAUCAAGGAUUUGCUAACCACUAUGCAGGAACAAGUAGGCAAAAUCUGGGAAGUAACAAAGGAAACUGGAGCAGAUGUGGCUAGAUUAAGAAUCAAUCUUCAGACCACAAAAAGACAAAGGAUCAGGGCUAUGCAGGAUGUCACUGAUCAUUCGAUUAAAGUCACUAAGGAGAUUGAUGCCUCUUAUAAUAAUUUCUACACCAAAGCGAUCAACAUUCUAAAGUAUUUCCUUGGAAGGAAUUGUUGUCUGGGAUGUUUCAACUAUGACUACUUGGUUGUAUAUAUAAGUACUACAUGAUGGUUAUUUUAUGUCAUUAUCUAUCAUUUUCUAUGUAUCUUCUCUUGUUAUUUUUUAUUGAUAUCAAAGGGGGAGAAGAAAAAGAGUAUAAAGACAGGGGGGCUAGAUAGGGGGAGGAUGAAGACCAGGGAGCACAGCAUAUAAAAGGAUACAAUGUGAAGGAAAACAUUACAAAAUCCUUGAAACUCUUUUAUUUAUUGUCAAAAAAGUGGGAGAUUGUUAGGUUUCGAAUUUCAACGAUGACUCAAAACAAAAGUUAAACACUCUCUAGUAAUGUAUCUACCACGUGUGUAGGCUAACUAUUCAAAUCACAAGAAGGAAAGUGCAUCAGGGUAGGAAAGAAACAAAGGAAGGUACAACCACAACUAUCACAUUCAAAUCCUUCUAUCAAGUGCGUACAUCAGGAAAAUAAAGAAGGAAAGUGAAUCAAUCAAUAUGAAAAAUAGACAAAAGACUAUCAAGGAAGGAAAGGGAAUCAAUAAAUUGUGCAAAAUCAACGAAAGACUCAACUUCAGUGAUUGGAAAGAAGUUCAAGGCAAAUCCAGCAUAUUAACUAAGGAUGAAUCUGGCCUUGCUUCGUGUGUUGUAUUCAAGAGGCAACCCUUGGGUCCUACUCUUAGAAUACAUUGACUCAAAAGGAAAAUCAUUUAAUCAACGAUUUUCCAAAAUCUUACAGAAAGGAACCAACAACUUCAUCAAGCUCUAUAUAAGAAGAGAAGAAAGGACUUGGGAUUUUACGCAACUUUCAUACAAGUUUUCAAUCUUUCUACUUCUUAAAAAAUACUGUAUUCCUAAGCUUACUAGUGUCUCAAAAGAUAGAGAGAAAAAAGAAAUUGAUUGAAAGGUUGUGUCAAGAAUUCAUUUGUAAUUCGUUUGUGGUAAACGUGAAGAAAACAACAUAUAUAGUUGUUCAAUUGAAGAUUUAAGAGAACCCUUAUGACCCAAGGCAACUGGAUGUAGUUUCCAUAUCGGUACACAAACCAGUAUAAAAAUCUCUAUCUCUCAUGUUUAUUUUUAUUGUUCUCCGUUACUUUUAUUUCUUGUACUAACUUUUGUCUGUAGAACCUUGGUAGUCAACUAAGAACAAAGUUAGUCGACUAAAGAAUUUUUACAAUUCGCCCCCUUGUACUUUCAAGUUAGGGGCGUCAAACCUCCAUCAUGCCACUGUCCUAUAUAUGUAAAGUUUAUCGAUAACACAACUUUCUGGUCUCAUUUACAGAUCACCCCUCUCAUCUAUAACUUCAACAUUAAGCUCUGGUAACUUAUGACCUAGCAGCUUAUAUGCCCCAAAACUUAUUGAACCAUAGUCUCAAGUUUUGUAGCAUUGGCCAACAUAGCCUCAGUGCAAAAAGGGAAAUCUUUGAUGUCAGUCACAUCGGGUUUGCCGAUCAGUUGAAAACUAUGAAAUAAGUCUGUAGUAGUUCAAAACUGGAAUUGGCACAAUAUCGCGAAGUGGCUGCCCUCGCUCAAUUCAACUCAGACCUUGAUGCUGCGACUAAGGCAUUACUCAAUAGAGGUGAAAGGCUGACAGAAGUAGCGAAACAACCACAAUAUGCCUCCAACCAACUUACUGAGGCUUUAAAAAGUAGAGAGCACGUAGUGAAGGCCUAGAUCGUUAUCCCCAGCAAAAUCUAUGGAAAGUAUCUCUAACUUCUUAGCAUGGACCGCAAUGUAGUCAAACAUACAAUCUGUAAGGAGGACAUAAAGCAAAAGUCAAUGCAAUUCCUUGCAGUGUUGCACAAUUUCCCCAAUACCAUCUUCAAGUGGUCCAAUGGUUAAGUAAUCAGGAUUUUGAGGCUUGAUUAUACACAAACAAAAUAAGACCAUGUUAGGACAAUUCCUUACAAUAGUAACUAAGUAGGCGGUCUACAGAGGGAGAGAAUCAACUCGAUAAUAGAAAUGUAUACGUUGCUUAAAUAAGUACUAUGCAUAGCUCGCGCUACAGUACUAUUCUGAAAUCCACCGGGAAAAUAUCAAAAUGCAAAAGUUAACAGAGAAAUUGGUAUCACAUUAAGUGGAAAUUGAUGACACAGGAAAUUGAAGAUCAGAAAAACAAAAAGAUUUUCUCUCCCUUCUCUCUAAAUUUUCUCUCACUAUGACCCACCCCAAUGACCAACCACCUCAUGACCCACCAGAUCUAUCAAAGCCCACACCUAGUGAAAAAGUGACAACUAACCUAAUCAAUUCCCACAUCGACACGUAGCUUAAACCCACCUACCACCACCACCAAAUUUCUUCCGACCACCAAAUCUGGAAACCCCAAAUUCAUGAAGGAAGUGGAGAAAUCCACUAGUUCUCAAUUAGAGGUACAUCUCGAAAAUAAUAGCAACAACAAUGAUUUUGAAACACAUAAACAAGAGCCUUAUGGGCAAUCGAAGAUGGAAGAUGAAGUUCCAGAUUCUCAAGCAGCAAAGACUAACCACAAUAGUAAAAGUUCAGUUUAGAAUUUCCCGAAGGUAUCAUUAAACUUUGAUAGAUUAAUCACAAUAAGAAGGCAAAUGCAUCAGAGGCUCCAAAUGGGAAUGAACAGAUGGGUGCUAAUCUGACUAGGCCAACAUCAAAUCAAUUACAGAGUGCAAUAUCUAUGUAUCCACAUGGUGUUGGGAUUAGAAUAUCUACCAUAUCUAUGAAUAGAAAAAACAAUCUAGGUACUUCCAAACCAUCUUUUCGGCUGAUGUUCAGGCAAAGUUGGCAAUUGGGAAUUCAGGUAAAAUCCAGUUUCAAUCGAACAUGGUAUGCAUCUUGGAAAAAUGAUUGUCUUUUUCAUUGCUGUUGAUUAUUUUGUGAAUCUUUCUCAAUAUUAUAAAUUUACCGUUAUUGGGAAGUUUUAUUGGGGAAAACCAACGAUGGAUGACAUAAGGAGAGAGUUAGUUAGUCAAUUUCAGCUUAGGGGAACUGUUAUAAUUUCAUAUUUUGAUUAUUAGCAUGUAUAUCUAGAUUAUGAUAAUGAAGUUGAUUUUACUUAUGUGGGAACUUGAUCAUUUGUGAAUAUUGGAAUAGCCCCAAUGAAAAUCAUGAAAUAGACCCUAGAUUUUAGGCCAGAAGUGGAAACAUCUAUUGUUCCAGUUUGAAUAUUAAUACAUCAGUUGCCAUGGCAUCUAUUCAGGUGGCACGUUGUUUCUAGAAUGGUAAUUGGAAUUCGGACUUUUGUAGCUCCUGAUAUGGCCACAUAUUCCAAGUCUAGAGGAAAUACAGCUAAGAUGAAAGUUGAAAUUGACUUGCUAAAACCAAAGUUAGAUGAGUUAUGGCUUGGGUUCAACACUUUAGAUGGCAAGGAAGUUGGGGUAUGGCUGAAUAUUGAAUAUUGGGGUGACCUUAUCUAUUGUCAAUAUUGUUUCAUGCAGGGCCAUUUGGAAAGUCAUUGUAGAAAUAAAAUAAGGUAUGAGAGGAAC
RNAcentral lists this long non-coding RNA (4955 nucleotides) under Nicotiana tabacum (common tobacco). RNAcentral's name for it is "long non-coding RNA (NTAB_LNC002685)". Lineage: Eukaryota; Viridiplantae; Streptophyta; Magnoliopsida; Solanales; Solanaceae. The record is from RNAcentral.